This is a long non-coding RNA of Topomyia yanbarensis, 2853 nucleotides long. RefSeq lists it as uncharacterized. The record is from RefSeq and is a predicted model, not a curated record. The transcript is spliced from 7 exons. NCBI's taxonomy places the organism in Eukaryota, Metazoa, Arthropoda, Insecta, Diptera, Culicidae.
GCUGAGACACGUUUCGACAAACGAUAAGUUUCAUAAUAGUUCCGCGAGACAGCGCUGCUUUCUAUGCGCUGUCACCAAGGCAAACUUUUUCCUUGCGAAAUAAUGGUCAGCGGUAUUAUUUCGCACGGAGGCUCGCGAAAUUUUGACAGGUUGCAAUGAAAAAAUAUAAGAAAACACAAGAUUGGCAAUUUUUUUCAUCGCAACCUGUCAAAAUUUCGUGGUUUAGAAAUUCAAUAUUUCGAAUUUGAAUGCACACCCAAACAAAGCAAAUCAGCUCAACUAAUCUUGUCUCAACAUCCUGGAUCUGGCAAUCAGCCAACCAACAUUAAAUCGAUACAACCGCAGCAGUACCAACUACUCCAAAUCCAGCAACAGCCCCUCAAAAAAGGACCACAUAGCAAUUACUGCUCAAACGAACAACAGGAGUUUACGAAUGAUGGACACAUCGGAAAACAUUUCAUCGGCACAUUCUGCCUUAAAACAUGUCUGCCACUAUUUUUGAAAAUAUCACUGCCUACACAGUGCUCGUGAUUCCAUUCCAGCAGCAGCAAGCAAUCACUAUUCGAGUGCUUAUCGCCAACAUUUCACAGCAAGCUCAGCAGCAGAACCACCUUCAACCACAACAUCAGAAAAUUAAGAUUUCUUCCAGACCAUGACCAUCAUCCUAAAGGUCGGUAGCAAUAACGUUCAACCGACGGUACAACCUGGUCAGCAACCGCAAUUAGUGCAAUAGAUCCAACCCAAAUGUAGAUUUACCAACUGCAAAAAAGAUAGCAACAGCACAUUCAAACACAGUAGCAGCAGCAUACUAUACUGUACCAUGCGGUGUGCAGGACUUUUUUAUUCAGUUGGUGCGGCAAGAUCGAACACCAACAACAUAAUAUCAUGGUAAUCACCCAGCAAGAGAACGCAGUGAUAAUGGGCCAACAGAAAACACAACAUCAAGAUGCUCGGAAAGGACUUUCUCUUUCGAACAAACAUAAUGGCACGUCAUCUUCAAUCGGCUAACCGUUUGGAAUAAGCGCUCAUCAUCGGUUUCAUGGCAGGGAAGUGAGCAGGCAAAAGAAGGCAUCGUUUUUUCCGCAAGGUCGCUCUGGUCAAAAUUUCAGCGAAUUGCAAGGAAUAAACCACCCGAGGGACAGUACCCGUGCUGAUUCAGGACGAUUUCCCAUACUUUGUACCUUGCUAUUGAAUUUUAAUACCCGAUCGAAACGAUGGCAAGCGCUGCCGAUAACUGGGUCAAAAAGACGACGGAUCAAGAAAUUUCUGCACUCGGUUAGCGAACUGAGUACAUAUCAUCAAGGAUAAGGAUUCAGAGCCGGCGGCUGGCAGUCCAGAGAAAGAGAAUGCGGAAAAACCUAGUCCACCGGCAGUAGAACCAAAGCUGCACCUGAUGUUUGGAGUUCGGUAGCUACAGAAAUUCUGACUCUAGCAGCUCCUGAAGAAAAACAAGCUGCAAGAGAAAAUGGAGAAACACCUUCCUCCGCGGAAGAUGCAGAGGCAUUCAACCCGGCGGAUGCAAGUUUGCUAAUGAAAGAUGUUCACUAAGGUCUAGUAGAAUCAAAGCUGGAUCUGAAGGUGCAGCGAAAGGAUUCUUCUUCGCCGGUUGGUUGGUUAAAACUUUCGAAGUUUUGCUCGUGAAGCCGGGAUUACUUCAGGGAGUCUAUGCGAUGGGUUUCAACGCCCUUCCAAGAUUCAGGAGAUGGCUCUGUUGGCCGGUCCGCCACGGAAUAAUCGCCCAGAGUCAGUCGGGAACAGGAAAAACCGCUGCCUUUGUGCUGGCAAUGCACAGUUGAGUCCAUCAGUUAAAAAACUAUCUGCAGGCAAUUCAGAAGGGGGAAGUAGCUGCCAAAAUGGCAAAGUUUUGUCCGGAAAUCAAACUUCCUUACGCCGUUCGCGGUGAGGAGACCGUCAAAGGGGCGAAGCUGACUAAUCAUAUCAUCAUCGGAACACCCGGCAAGCUAAUUGACUGGGGUAUAAAGUUCAGGACGUACGACCUAGUUUUUCCUUUUUGUACUGGACGAGGCGGGUGUUAUGGUCGGUGUUCUUCUUGGCCACGUACGAGCGCGAGGUAAUGGAGUUUGCCGAGUACAUCGUACCCAAUCCGAUCGUCAUUCGGCAGGCGCGGGAGCAAGAAUCACUCGAUAACAUCAAACAGUACUACGUCAAGUUCCGCAACCAGAACGAGAAAUUGUGUGAUUACCGUCGGACAAGCGAUCAUUUUCUGCCAUAUGAUGUAUAGGACAGUUGUAAACGUCCAAGUAAACUUAUUUUCAGAACUGUUAAUCGAUCGAAACAGGUACGAAAAACGGCCGGUUGGUUGACCUACAGGAUGUCCCAGGAUGGUCACUCGGUAGCGGUACUGUCCGGUAAUCUAACGGUGGAGCAACGGUUGGAACGAACGUUUUGUCCAGGGGUAUCGACGUCGAACAGGUGACCAUUGUCGUCAACUUCGACCUGCCGAUGGAUUAGCAGGGACGAGCCGAUUGCGAAACGUAUCUACAUCGAAUUAGACGCACCGGUAGAUUCGGUAAGUGUGACUCAUUCUUGUGAUCCUAUAGAUUGUAUUUCUUCCCACUUCUUUAACAGAACGGAAUCACCAUCAACCUAGUGGGCAGUGAUCGAAACAUGAUGAUUUGCAGAUCAAUCAAAAAACACUUCCGGAAAGAUUCAGUUGCUAGACGCGGAGAACUCGGACGAAAUUGAAAAGAUCGCACCGUAAAGUGUUUUCGACCAGCUACUGGUCAUACUUGUUUUGAUUCUGAAUUUAUAAUUUUAUAUUUUUUUAAUUUACAAAUGUAACCAACAGGGUAUCGCAAGCUAAUAAAUUUACAAUUACAAUUACAAUCUCUA